AUACAUACCUGACAGGGAGAUACCAUGAUCACGAAGGUGGUUUUCCCAGGGAGAGGCUUAUCCAUUGCACUCCGGAUGUGCUGACCCCUGCAAUUUCCCAAAAUGUGGGAAAUUCGACUGCAUAAUUUUUAAAAAAUAUAU
This 141-nucleotide small nuclear RNA is filed under the name Myotis davidii. Its description in RNAcentral is "U1 spliceosomal RNA". It matches the Rfam family "U1 spliceosomal RNA". Rfam says of the family: U1 is a small nuclear RNA (snRNA) component of the spliceosome (involved in pre-mRNA splicing). Its 5' end forms complementary base pairs with the 5' splice junction, thus defining the 5' donor site of an intron. Lineage: Eukaryota; Metazoa; Chordata; Mammalia; Chiroptera; Vespertilionidae. The record is from Rfam by way of RNAcentral.